This 1217-nucleotide long non-coding RNA is filed under the name Calidris pygmaea (Spoon-billed sandpiper). RNAcentral's name for it is "lncRNA (ENSCPGG00000003541.1)". Lineage: Eukaryota; Metazoa; Chordata; Aves; Charadriiformes; Scolopacidae. The record is from RNAcentral.
AUCUGAUGGUCACCCUGCACAUUCCUGCUCCGACAUCCAAACCUGUCCCUGCAACAUCCCCAACCAGGAGGAUGCUGAGAGCCCCAAAUCCCCCAGCUGAUACGCUGUGAGCCAAAUCCCUGAGCUAUCGCCACAACAGCCAAAACGCACCCUCAAAACCCCAUCUUCAAUCACGUUGUCUCCUUAAUGUUGAAACACUCAGUUUUCUGCUGAGACCAGAAAGAACAGAACAAGUGGUUCCAAAACACCACGCUCCCAAUCAUAGAUCUUGAUAAGUGAAGGCACUCUGGCACGCGCAAUAACUACUAACAUUUAGAAACGAUAAAAAACACCAAGUACCAGUGCUGGAUCCAGUAAAUCUAGACAAAAACAAAGGACUGCGUAUUGGUUUGGAGCCCAAUACCAGUUUUCGAUCUUCACUACUGAAUAACAAAUUUCAGCAGAGAUGUUCUUCCUGCAAAAGCGGAGCACAGCCCAAGGAUGAUUUACCCUCACUGGUGUUGCAUCUAUCACCAGUAAAACUGAAGCCUCAGCGCUGCCAACGCCGCACAGAGCUUUUUCAGCAUUAGAAACCUGUCAAAACCUUUCCAAACAGAGGACAGCUGGGAAGUAAGAUCAGAUGCUGAAGUGGCUGCAGGCCUGAUCUCAGCUGCAGCAUGAUCAUCCAGAGAAGCCAAGGACCCCCAAGCCAUCUAACCUGGCACUGAUGCUAAGCCAGCUGAGGUAGUCCAUGGCCAGCAAAAUGGGACUGCAGCCAUGGAGCGCAGGGAAGAACCUCGCUACCUGGUGGUUGCACACAUAGCACACGCUUUUGAAACAUUCAUUUCCACUUAAGAAGUUACUUCAUGCCUGUGUUGCCACGAGCUCUCCCUCCCAGUGCAAACCAGUGUGUUGUGACCUGCUCCUGCAGCCCUGCCAAAAAGCAACAGCAAGAACGAGUCUUCAUGAACCUCCUAAAGAUCUAGGAAAUAAAAACAAGCCGUGGAAACUCACCUUGCACAUUACCAAGGCAGACAGUUACAAGGUAGCUAAGGACAGCCAGACUAGCCUGAACGGGGUUGCUACAGGACUUACAAUUAAGCAACUUGUACCAAACUUCAAAAAAAGUUAAAAUGUUUUGUUAUACUUGCCAGAACUGGCACUGUCAAUGGAACAAUAUUAUAAGCCGUAUUUUAGAGAACUUCCUCUCAUUUGUUUUCAAUCGACCUAAGUAAGCA